This 1537-nucleotide ribosomal RNA is filed under the name Parabacteroides distasonis. Its description in RNAcentral is "bacterial SSU rRNA". It matches the Rfam family "Bacterial small subunit ribosomal RNA". Lineage: Bacteria; Pseudomonadati; Bacteroidota; Bacteroidia; Bacteroidales; Tannerellaceae. The record is from RNAcentral.
CAAUUUAAACAACGAAGAGUUUGAUCCUGGCUCAGGAUGAACGCUAGCGACAGGCUUAACACAUGCAAGUCGAGGGGCAGCGGGGUGUAGCAAUACACCGCCGGCGACCGGCGCACGGGUGAGUAACGCGUAUGCAACUUGCCUAUCAGAGGGGGAUAACCCGGCGAAAGUCGGACUAAUACCGCAUGAAGCAGGGGUCCCGCAUGGGGAUAUUUGCUAAAGAUUCAUCGCUGAUAGAUAGGCAUGCGUUCCAUUAGGCAGUUGGCGGGGUAACGGCCCACCAAACCGACGAUGGAUAGGGGUUCUGAGAGGAAGGUCCCCCACAUUGGUACUGAGACACGGACCAAACUCCUACGGGAGGCAGCAGUGAGGAAUAUUGGUCAAUGGGCGUAAGCCUGAACCAGCCAAGUCGCGUGAGGGAUGAAGGUUCUAUGGAUCGUAAACCUCUUUUAUAAGGGAAUAAAGUGCGGGACGUGUCCCGUUUUGUAUGUACCUUAUGAAUAAGGAUCGGCUAACUCCGUGCCAGCAGCCGCGGUAAUACGGAGGAUUCGAGCGUUAUCCGGAUUUAUUGGGUUUAAAGGGUGCGUAGGCGGCCUUUUAAGUCAGCGGUGAAAGUCUGUGGCUCAACCAUAGAAUUGCCGUUGAAACUGGGGGGCUUGAGUAUGUUUGAGGCAGGCGGAAUGCGUGGUGUAGCGGUGAAAUGCUUAGAUAUCACGCAGAACCCCGAUUGCGAAGGCAGCCUGCCAAGCCAUGACUGACGCUGAUGCACGAAAGCGUGGGGAUCAAACAGGAUUAGAUACCCUGGUAGUCCACGCAGUAAACGAUGAUCACUAGCUGUUUGCGAUACAGUGUAAGCGGCACAGCGAAAGCGUUAAGUGAUCCACCUGGGGAGUACGCCGGCAACGGUGAAACUCAAAGGAAUUGACGGGGGCCCGCACAAGCGGAGGAACAUGUGGUUUAAUUCGAUGAUACGCGAGGAACCUUACCCGGGUUUGAACGCAUUCGGACCGAGGUGGAAACACCUUUUCUAGCAAUAGCCGUUUGCGAGGUGCUGCAUGGUUGUCGUCAGCUCGUGCCGUGAGGUGUCGGCUUAAGUGCCAUAACGAGCGCAACCCUUGCCACUAGUUACUAACAGGUGAUGCUGAGGACUCUGGUGGGACUGCCAGCGUAAGCUGCGAGGAAGGCGGGGAUGACGUCAAAUCAGCACGGCCCUUACAUCCGGGGCGACACACGUGUUACAAUGGCGUGGACAAAGGGAAGCCACCUGGCGACAGGGAGCGAAUCCCCAAACCACGUCUCAGUUCGGAUCGGAGUCUGCAACCCGACUCCGUGAAGCUGGAUUCGCUAGUAAUCGCGCAUCAGCCAUGGCGCGGUGAAUACGUUCCCGGGCCUUGUACACACCGCCCGUCAAGCCAUGGGAGCCGGGGGUACCUGAAGUCCGUAACCGCGAGGAUCGGCCUAGGGUAAAACUGGUGACUGGGGCUAAGUCGUAACAAGGUAGCCGUACCGGAAGGUGCGGCUGGAACACCUCCUUUCU